UAAAAUCUCCUGCUGUUGUUGCACCCUCUUCACUUUAUCCUCUUGCUUUCUCCUUUCAAUCUAAUUUCAAAUUAAGAAGAAAAAGCAUGGCAAUUUAUGAAUUUAUAUAGAAGGGCAAUCAAAAAAAAUACCGAACAUAUAAAUCUGAGUUCACUAUUGAAACCCAUCAAUAAAAGCCAACAUGUCAAAUGAAAAGCCCAACAGUUUCAACAAAAACAAAAAAAAUGAAAAACAAAUCAAACAACACAAAAAGAGAAGGGAAAAAAGGAAUAAACCAAUCAAUAAAUCAAAAUAGAAUGCUCACCAGCCUUGAGAAGGCAACUGAGUUUGCUGCUUCUGCUGCUGAGCCGCCGCAGCUGAACGCUUCUUGGGUGGAGACGCCGGUGCCGCUGCGGCGAUUUUCUGUCAUCUAACAAAUGGAAAGUGUUUGCUGUCGCCAUUUUUGGAAAGCCGGCGCGACAUGAAGUGCGACGAAGCAGACCAGAGAGAGAACGGCGAAGCUAGGAUUGCAACGGGCAGACCAAAGAGAGAGUGAGAGGAAGCAGGCCAGAGAGAGAAAAGGAUCCCUGUGGUUUACCUUUUCUUUUCCUUCUUUUUUUUUAUUCCUAAAAUUUGUGAGGCUGACACCUGGAUGAAAGUUCCACAGUAAAUAUACAAGUAGCCAGUAGGAGAGGAGAUUAAGUUAAACACCAUCAUUUUUCACCCUAGAUCUCCACAGCCUCACCUUUUUCCUCUGCCUCCAACUGCUGCUUCUCCUCUCCAACCACUCCAAGGUUCCUGUGUCUCCGCCGGUGAGAUUCGCUAGAGAGAUGGAUCGUGUGUUUAUUCGCUAGGAAGGCCCAAAUGAAAUAAAUUAUAUCCCCGUUGGAUGAAAAACUCUAUGAUUGGGUUGGGUCUGGGAGACACUUCACUCACAAUCUUAUUUCUCAUUCAUCUUCUAUUCUCUUCACGUGUGUUUUGUUUCUCUAAUUCUCUCAAUCAAAUUUUAGUCUCAGGCGUCUUCUCCAAUAAUCCCAACGAACAAGUGUCAAGACUGGCCUCGCAGAUUAAUCAAUGGAUAGAAAAAGGCACAGAAUCAUGAUGGUCUCUGAUUUUUUCUAUCCCAACUUUGGUGGCGUCGAGAACCACAUCUAUUAUCUCUCUCAGUGCUUACUCAAGCUAGGCCACAAGGUAGUGGUUGUAACUCAUGCGUAUGGAAACCGAUCUGGGGUUAGAUACAUGACUGGCGGUUUGAAAGUUUACUAUGUUCCGUGGAGGCCUUUUGUUAUGCAGAACUCAUUCCCAACCCUAUUUCCUUCACUCCCCAUUAUUAGAGCCAUUCUCAUUCGAGAAAGAAUCACUAUUGUCCAUGGACAUCAAGCAUUUUCCACUCUAUGUCAUGAAGCUCUCAUGCAUUCUAGAACCAUGGGGUACAGGGUUGUAUUCACGGAUCAUUCUCUCUAUGGAUUUUCGGAUGCUGGAAGCAUACAUAUGAACAAGGUCUUGCAGUUCACAUUGGCUGAUGUGAGUCAGGCCAUAUGUGUUUCGCAUACGAGCAAGGAGAAUACAGUGUUACGGUCGGGGCUGCCCCCGGAGAAGGUUUUUGUUAUACCUAAUGCUGUGGACACUGCAAUGUUCAAGCCAGCGGUGGUGCAGCCGAGCCGCUCGGAGAUUGUUAUUGUUGUUAUUAGCCGGUUGGUUUAUCGCAAGGGAGCAGAUUUGCUUGUUGAAGUCAUUCCAGACAUAUGCCGUCUGCAUCCCAAUGUUCGUUUCAUUAUUGGAGGUGAUGGACCUAAGCGUGUGCGGUUGGAGGAGAUGAGAGAAAAACAUUCUCUUCAAGAUCGAGUUGAAAUGUUGGGAGCUGUGCCACAUGCACAAGUCCGUUCUGUUCUAAUAUCAGGACACAUCUUCUUAAACAGUUCCUUAACUGAAGCUUUCUGUAUAGCCAUAUUAGAGGCUGCUAGUUGUGGAUUGUUAACAGUUAGCACACGUGUUGGAGGAGUUCCCGAGGUUUUACCAGAUGACAUGAUCAUUUUGGCAGAACCUGAUCCUGGUGAUAUGGUGCUUGCAAUUGAAAGGGCAAUAUCAAUGCUGCCAAAAGUUGAUCCACAAGUCAUGCACAACCGGAUGAGGGAACUCUAUAACUGGCAUGAUGUUGCCAAAAGGACUGAAAUUGUAUAUGAUCGUGCUUUGAAGUGCCCCAAUCAAAAUCUACUUGAACGGCUCUCACGAUACCUUUAUUGCGGAGUGUGGGCAGGAAAGCUGUUUUUCCUGGUUAUGAUAGUUGAUUUUUUGUUUUGGCGGCUAUUGGAACUAUGGCAGCCUGCAGAGGACAUUGAGGAGAUUCCAGAUUUAACUCUUCCACACAUCUCCAACAAAGAGACAUUGCAAGAAAUCGAAUGAAAUGCGUAUUGUGAUACUGAAUUUUCAUUACUGUCUAGUAUGCAAUGCAGAAUACAAAGAGGAUAUUUUAUUGUACAGUUGGCUUCGUUGCAUCGCUGGACUAGGCAGCUUCUGCACCAGAAAUCAGAGGCAUGAAGCAUGUGGAUUGCCAUUUAGAUUGUAGUGAGCCAAGUUCACCAUUAACACACACAGCCUCUUCUUCUUUCUCUUUGGAUUGUCGCUGCACCGCCGCUCUGUUCCGCCAUCCGCCUUUCCUCUUGGGGUACCAACGCUUUAGAAAAGUGUUGAUAGCUUUGUGGCAUCGGAAAAUGAGACUUGGAGGGAGAGAAUGAGGUAGGUAAUGAUGUUUGGACUUAUGUUUAUUGAGAUUGAAAGCUUCUACCCUAGUUAUUAGGAUUAGUCUUGAAAUUCAUAAAUUACGUGGGAAUUAGGUGCUUGUUUUGAUUUUGGUGCCCCUAAUUGCUAGUUGUAAUGUGAAGGUUCAAGGUUGGUGAGAUGGAAUCAUGAACAGAGCAGAGAGCAUAAAUUUAAAGCUCUUCUUUUCUUUUUAAGUGAUAAUGUAUUGAUUUAAACAUGCAACAAGAAAUUCAGACUUAAAAAGAUGUUCAAAUUUAUAUGGUAUUUGCUGGGUGUCAAAAUUCUCCGAAGCACAGAAUCCCCAUGGGGACUGUCCCGAAUGGGGAGCCAAAGGCGGGGAAUUUUUUCGGUGGGGAUGAGGAUGGGACUAAAAUCCCUCAGGUAGCGUUUGUUUUGAGUUACUGGGACAG
RNA transcript from Arachis stenosperma, 3149 nucleotides. It is a transcript of the gene named phosphatidylinositol N-acetylglucosaminyltransferase subunit A-like, with no coding region annotated. The transcript has 9 exons. The record is from RefSeq and is a predicted model, not a curated record. Lineage: Eukaryota; Viridiplantae; Streptophyta; Magnoliopsida; Fabales; Fabaceae.